Molecule: ribosomal RNA, 301 nt
Filed under: uncultured bacterium
Lineage: Bacteria
Description: bacterial SSU rRNA
Rfam family: Bacterial small subunit ribosomal RNA
Source: RNAcentral
CGUUAUGUGUGUGCUACCAGGUCGUGUAUCGCGUAGGUUGCAAUCGUGUCUCAGUAUUAUUGGGUCGAAAUAGCUCGUUGGGCGUGUGUUGCGUCUGCCGGGGAAACCUACUGCUUAACCUUGGGCGGGCGGUGGUUACGUGCAUCACUUGAGUUCGGCAGGGGAGACUGGAAUUCCUGGUGUAGCGGUGGAAUGCGCAGAUAUCAGGAGGAACACCGGUGGCGAAGGCGGGUCUCUGGGCCGAUACUGACGCUGAGGAGCGAAAGCGUGGGGAGCGAACAGGAUUAGAUACCCCGGAGUC